Macadamia integrifolia is the source of this 90-nucleotide small nucleolar RNA. The record is from RefSeq and is a predicted model, not a curated record. Lineage: Eukaryota; Viridiplantae; Streptophyta; Magnoliopsida; Proteales; Proteaceae.
AAUUGGCGAUGAUGAUUAACGUACAGCUUUACGCCAGUUCUGCUUCAGAAAAUUCUUGAUUGAUAGAGCUGAUAUAUCUCUGAGCCUUUU